Heterocephalus glaber (naked mole-rat) is the source of this 1865-nucleotide long non-coding RNA. NCBI's taxonomy places the organism in Eukaryota, Metazoa, Chordata, Mammalia, Rodentia, Bathyergidae. The record is from Ensembl.
CAGGGUCAACACUAAGACACUGAGUCAACAGUGAGCUCACCGUUUCUACUCAAUGAUUCCACUGGAAAAGCUUCUCCUUUGAAAACGAUCAGAGUCACGAAGCCUAGUUUUAUCACCAGGUUAUUCGGUUGCCAAAGACCUUGGAGCAGGCCUUUGGUACGUUUCAUCUGAUUCUGAAACUCAGCGGUUUCACACCGGAACACAUCAAAACAGGCAAGAACAGGAAGUGGAAAAAACAUUUUGACCCAAUGGAAACUACCUUUAGUUCACCUGGAUUCCUCUGAAACAGCAGUCAAAUGGGCUCAGAUGCUAACUGUGGAAGAGCACCCGCAGGUGGCGUGUCCCCCACAGGGACUUUGUUGGUACCUCAUCAGCAGUGUGUGCAAACCUCGGGCUCUUAUGAUUGUCUCAGUUUGAAAAAACCUCCUCCUAAUAUACAACCAUCUGAGCUGGCUGUGGUGAUGCACGCCUGUAAUCCUAGCACUCUGGGAGGCUGAGACAGGAAGAGGACAAGUUUGAGCCUGGUCUGGGCAACUCAUUGAGACGCUAUCCCAAAAUAAAAAUAAAAAGGGCUGAGGAGGUAGCUAGCUCAUCUUUGCGCUAAACUAGUAUGGCCAGAGAUCUUAACAGAGACACACUUAAUCAUUCAUUCAACGAACACCGACCAGGUACUGUGUCACUGGGACACAAUACCUGUCACUCACAAGUUAAAGAAGGAAAGGUUUAUUUUAGUUCAAUUUGUAGAGGUUUCAGUCCAUAGUCGGCUGGCUCCAAGGCAGGGUGGCACACUGCAGAGGGGCAUCGCAGAGGAGAGCAGGCAAGAAGCAGGGAAAAGGCCAGGGAGGAGGAGGGAGACAGACCCUGCCAGGCCACGCCCCCAGUGACACCUCCUCCCAUCAGGCCAUACCUCUCCACAUCACAUUCAGCCGUAAACCCGUCACCGACUGAUCCACUGAUCCAGUCCCCCCCCCCGCCCCCCGCCCCCCGCCCCACAUCCCCUGUGAGCGCCUGAGGCUUUGGGGAGCAUCUAGACUUAAACCAUAACAGACAGGAGUGACAGAAACGGUGACUUGGAGUUCUAAGGACAGGACUGAGCCCGGACAGGGUGCAGCUGAGGAGGAGAGGACAGGACAGUACCCCCCCACACACCCCAUCUCAGGGUUGCCUGGGUCCUGCGGGUCGGGCGGGGGAAGCCGCAGUUGGCUUGGCUGACCAAGGUCUUGGUGCCUCGCCCGAGGUGUUGCUUUUGUGGAGGGCAGCACACCACACAGAAGGGCUGCACACUUCCUGUCUUGGUGCGCAGUGAGGACAACCUCUGGGGGUGAGUUGGUCCUUCAGGGCAUGUGCUGUGCAGCUGGGGGCCUGUGGGUGGCUCUCAUCCUCGGACCUCUGCCCCAGGCAGCCCUGACACUAAGGGAGUUUGUCCCUACUAAUGGCCAGUGAGAGAGGUGCUGUCACAGCACAGAGGCUGUUGGGAGCAAUGCUACAUAAUUCUAGGGAAAAAUCAUUUGAGUAGGCCUAGUUCUCCUGCCUACAGACCAGCUACGACAUUCCAGACGUAACUGCAUUUUGGCCUCGGGUCACAACUGAGACCUCAGUGAUCCCCAGAUGCUGUAAUGCUCCAGGACAAGACCACACCUGCCGAGACACCGGAGAGGAACCAAAUCUUUAUCUGUAUAGUUCCUCAUAGUUCUUAGAUUGCCACUGCCCCCCAGUCCUGUUACACCUUGUUUAUCCCAAUGUGAAGUGCUAAACUCUGCAUUUUUCACUUGUUACAUCUGUCUCCCCAUGUACUGAAUAAAAAGUGCUGCAAGCUAGGGGGCUUUUGUCUUUGCUGCCCGGAGCAGCACUGAUCAGACCCAAAG